UUUCCGUAGGUGAACCUGCGGAAGGAUCAUUACUGAGUGAGGGCCCCUCGGGGUCCAACCACCCACCCGUGUUUAACGAACCUUGUUGCUUCGGCGGGCCCGCCUCACGGCCGCCGGGGGGCAUCUGCCCCCGGGCCCGCGCCCGCCGAAGCCACCUGUGAACGCUGUCUGAAGUAUGCAGUCUGAGACAAUUAUUAAAUUAAUUAAAACUUUCAACAACGGAUCUCUUGGUUCCG
This 236-nucleotide unclassified non-coding RNA is filed under the name plant metagenome. Its description in RNAcentral is "partial contains small subunit ribosomal RNA, internal transcribed spacer 1, and 5.8S ribosomal RNA". The record is from RNAcentral.